RNAcentral lists this microRNA (21 nucleotides) under Macaca mulatta (Rhesus monkey). Its description in RNAcentral is "mml-miR-194-3p". Its record names the gene mml-miR-194-3p. The record is from miRBase by way of RNAcentral. Lineage: Eukaryota; Metazoa; Chordata; Mammalia; Primates; Cercopithecidae.
CAGUGGGGCUGCUGUUAUCUG